Molecule: ribosomal RNA, 165 nt
Filed under: uncultured bacterium
Lineage: Bacteria
Description: partial 16S ribosomal RNA
Rfam family: Bacterial small subunit ribosomal RNA
Source: RNAcentral
ACGGGAGGCAGCAGUGGGGAAUAUUGCACAAUGGGGGAAACCCUGAUGCAGCGACGCCGCGUGGAGGAAGAAGGUAUUCGGAUUGUAAACUCCUGUUGUUGAGGAAGAUAAUGACGGUACUCAACAAGGAGGUGACGGCUAACUACGUGCCAGCAGCCGCGGUAA